CGGAGGGAUCAUUACUGAGUUACCGCUCUAUAACCCUUUGUGAACAUACCUAUAUGUUGCUUCGGCGGCCGGCCCCCCGGGGCGUCCGCCGGAGGAUAACCAAACUCUGAUUUAACGACGUUUCUUCUGAGUGGCACAAGCAAAUAAUCAAAACUUUUAACAACGGAUCUCUUGGUUCUGGCAUCGAUGAAGAACGCAGCGAAAUGCGAUAAGUAAUGUGAAUUGCAGAAUUCAGUGAAUCAUCGAAUCUUUGAACGCACAUUGCGCCCGCCAGCAUUCUGGCGGGCAUGCCUGUUCGAGCGUCAUUUCAACCCUCAAGCACUGCUUGGUGUUGGGGCUCUACGGUUGACGUAGGCCCCCAAAGCUAGUGGCGGACCCUCUCGGAGCCUCCUUUGCGUAGUAACUUUUGUCUCGCACUGGGAUUCGGAGGGACUCUAGCCGUUAAACCCCCCAAUUUUCCAAAGGUUGACCUCGGAUCAGGUAGGAAUACCCGCUGAACUUA
Molecule: ribosomal RNA, 502 nt
Filed under: fungal endophyte
Lineage: Eukaryota; Fungi
Description: eukaryotic LSU rRNA
Rfam family: 5.8S ribosomal RNA (bases 152-305)
Source: RNAcentral